This 72-nucleotide transfer RNA is filed under the name Ganoderma calidophilum. RNAcentral's name for it is "tRNA-Arg". It matches the Rfam family "tRNA". Rfam says of the family: Transfer RNA (tRNA) molecules are approximately 80 nucleotides in length. Their secondary structure includes four short double-helical elements and three loops (D, anti-codon, and T loops). The record is from RNAcentral. Lineage: Eukaryota; Fungi; Basidiomycota; Agaricomycetes; Polyporales; Polyporaceae.
CUUCUCUUAGUUUAAUUGGUAGAACAGAGGUCUUCGAAACUUUAUGUAGUGGUUCGAUUCCACUAGGGAAUU